GAUGAACGCUGGCGGCGUGCCUAAUACAUGCAAGUCGAGCGAAUGGAUUAAGAGCUUGCUCUUAUGAAGUUAGCGGCGGACGGGUGAGUAACACGUGGGUAACCUGCCCAUAAGACUGGGAUAACUCCGGGAAACCGGGGCUAAUACCGGAUAACAUUUUGAACCGCAUGGUUCGAAAUUGAAAGGCGGCUUCGGCUGUCACUUAUGGAUGGACCCGCGUCGCAUUAGCUAGUUGGUGAGGUAACGGCUCACCAAGGCAACGAUGCGUAGCCGACCUGAGAGGGGGAUCGGCCACACUGGGACUGAGACACGGCCCAGACUCCUACGGGAGGCAGCGGUAGGGAAUCUUCCGCAAUGGACGAAAGUCUGACGGAGCAACGCCGCGUGAGUGAUGAAGGCUUUCGGGUCGUAAAACUCUGUUGUCAGGGAAGAACAAGUGCUAGUUGAAUAAGCUGGCACCUUGACGGUACCUAACCAGAAAGCCACGGCUAACUACGUGCCAGCCGCCGCGGUAA
This 515-nucleotide ribosomal RNA is filed under the name uncultured bacterium. Its description in RNAcentral is "partial 16S ribosomal RNA". It matches the Rfam family "Bacterial small subunit ribosomal RNA", at positions 28 to 523 of the family's 1533-position model. The record is from RNAcentral.